RNAcentral lists this ribosomal RNA (507 nucleotides) under Vibrio parahaemolyticus. Its description in RNAcentral is "bacterial SSU rRNA". It matches the Rfam family "Bacterial small subunit ribosomal RNA", at positions 1 to 487 of the family's 1533-position model. Lineage: Bacteria; Pseudomonadati; Pseudomonadota; Gammaproteobacteria; Vibrionales; Vibrionaceae. The record is from RNAcentral.
AAAUUGAAGAGUUUGAUCAUGGCUCAGAUUGAACGCUGGCGGCAGGCCUAACACAUGCAAGUCGAGCGGAAACGAGUUAUCAGAACCUUCGGGGGACGAUAACGGCGUCGAGCGGCGGACGGGUGAGUAAUGCCUAGGAAAUUGCCCUGAUGUGGGGGAUAACCAUUGGAAACGAUGGCUAAUACCGCAUGAUGCCUACGGGCCAAAGAGGGGGACCUUCGGGCCUCUCGCGUCAGGAUAUGCCUAGGUGGGAUUAGCUAGUUGGUGAGGUAAGGGCUCACCAAGGCGACGAUCCCUAGCUGGUCUGAGAGGAUGAUCAGCCACACUGGAACUGAGACACGGUCCAGACUCCUACGGGAGGCAGCAGUGGGGAAUAUUGCACAAUGGGCGCAAGCCUGAUGCAGCCAUGCCGCGUGUAUGAAGAAGGCCUUCGGGUUGUAAAGUACUUUCAGUCGUGAGGAAGGUAGUGUAGUUAAUAGCUGCAUUAUUUGACGUUAGCGACAGAAG